Molecule: unclassified non-coding RNA, 272 nt
Filed under: air metagenome
Description: partial contains small subunit ribosomal RNA, internal transcribed spacer 1, and 5.8S ribosomal RNA
Rfam family: Eukaryotic small subunit ribosomal RNA (bases 1-46)
Source: RNAcentral
AAGUCGUAACAAGGUUUCCGUAGGUGAACCUGCGGAAGGAUCAUUAGCGAGGUUUUCCGGGCCUUUUUUGGCCCGAUACCCGUCCAUGUCAUGUGCACCGAUUUGCUUCGGCGGAGGGUUGUGGGGGGAGGAGGACAUGGCGGCCUCAGGGUCACGUGACCUCUCCCGACGACCGCCGUCGGCCCUUUUUAAAACACUUGCGGAUUUUUGAAGUCUGAUUGUCAAAAAACGAAAAUGAAGCAAAACUUUCAACAACGGAUCUCUUGGCUCUG